CGGCGGACGGGUGAGUAAUGCCUGGGAAUAUGCCUUAGUGUGGGGGAUAACUAUUGGAAACGAUAGCUAAUACCGCAUAAUGCCUUCGGGCCAAAGAGGGGGACCUUCGGGCCUCUCGCGCUAAGAUUAGCCCAGGUGGGAUUAGCUAGUUGGUGGGGUAAAGGCUCACCAAGGCGACGAUCCCUAGCUGGUCUGAGAGGAUGAUCAGCCACACUGGAACUGAGACACGGUCCAG
This 235-nucleotide ribosomal RNA is filed under the name uncultured bacterium. RNAcentral's name for it is "partial 16S ribosomal RNA". It matches the Rfam family "Bacterial small subunit ribosomal RNA", at positions 96 to 334 of the family's 1533-position model. The record is from RNAcentral.